AUGGCCAUCAUCCUGGUCCAGGAGCAAGAUCUUCCAAAGACUAGCAGCACACUGGGGUGGUAUGACAUUCUUCAACUUAGAGUCCAUCAGAAGAAAAACAGAAGGAGCAAAUCGUUAGCAGUUCCAUCUAAGGGAUAUUUGGUCUGGAGGAUGAGGGCUCAGAGGAUAAAACAACAUCUGAGAAGUGCGCAGGGACAUGAAUAUCUCCCUCAUGGAGACCUUAGUGCUAUGCUGGGCUGUUGCUUGUCCGCAGCAUUUCUUCAGUGUGUAAGAUGCCUGAGAAGAGGCGUCUGGAAGAGAAGGGUUUCUGAAUAAAAAUGGGUCACAGAUUUAGUGGAAGAUCAUUGAAGAGGAUGUAAAACAUCUGCUGAAAUCUAUUUCUGUAUCAUCAAUGAUACAAAUAUAUUUAAAAAAAUCUACUUUUAAGUGUUUCCUGCAAAUUAUCGAAUAAAACAGAAAAAAAAAUCUCA
RNAcentral lists this long non-coding RNA (470 nucleotides) under Anser cygnoides (Swan goose). RNAcentral's name for it is "lncRNA (ENSACDG00005019398.1)". The record is from RNAcentral. Lineage: Eukaryota; Metazoa; Chordata; Aves; Anseriformes; Anatidae.